Lycium barbarum (goji berry) is the source of this 1520-nucleotide long non-coding RNA. RefSeq lists it as uncharacterized. The record is from RefSeq and is a predicted model, not a curated record. The transcript has 3 exons. Lineage: Eukaryota; Viridiplantae; Streptophyta; Magnoliopsida; Solanales; Solanaceae.
ACCACUAGAACUUUCUCUUUAAACCCACUAGCAUCAAUAUGCUCUUGCUCUUCCUAGGAAAAUUCUUCGGCGUUGUGCUCUCUGGUUAUCCUCUCCGACUAUUGCCUGUGGCUUCACUUGGGGUUUGCUCAUUUCAUCUUUGCUUUCUUUUCUGUAGACAUAUAUCCGGUCUUAAUCUUCAUAUAUGUUAAAGGGUAAAAACGUAUAGAUCCGGCCUGUCUUCCCUAUUCAGUAGAUAAAUAAUUAUUUCCAUAGCAUUAGAAGAGUUUCAAGGAAACUUAUUUUCUUAUGAAUCCAUAGAAUUAUAAGUUCCCAUUGUUAGUACAAGUUACAUAAUUUUUCCAUUAUUUUUGGUUUCUUAAAUAUAGUUCAGUUUCUGUAGAAUUUUUUAUUUUUCAGGCUAAAUAUCGGUUUCAUUGAUAAUGAAGAUUAGGGUUGUUAUUUUACCAGGGAUUUGGGGAUUUAGGGAUUUGGGUUUUCUGAAGGAUUUUGAUUUUUAACUGAGGUUUUUGAAGGAUUUUUACAUUCAUUCUUGCCGGAUUCAGGAAAGAGUUGUACUUCAUCAAAUUCUUCAAAAAUCUCUGUGAAGAAGCCAUUCUGUUGGGAUUCUUCGAUUGAUAGUGAACUGAGGAAGCAAUGGCGUAGAAAGUCAGCGAGAAGGUACAAGGAUUUCAUUAGCACAAUAAAAGGUGAAGGAUUUCGGUCAGAUUAUGUUCCGAAAGAAACAUGAGAAAGUUGGAUGAAAUUUUGGGAAGAUCCUAAGGUUGUUGAAAAAUCGAAAAUAGCUUCAAAGAAUCGUCGUGGCGGUUAGAGUGCAGUUGCUAGUGGGACUCACACGGGCAACUCUGUUACCAUUGGAGAGCAUCGCAAGAGACUUUGGAAAAAAUAUCAAGAAAUACUACAAAACCAGACACAGACUCAAUUUGAAGUUGAUCACUGUCAAGCCUAUUACGAAGCCGUAGGAGGGGUAAAGAAAAGAAGAAUAUAUGGUCUUGGAUCUCAAGCACAAUUAUAUUAUGGGCCGAAUUUUCUUCCGCCAUCUGGAUCUGAUGCUACAUCCUCAGUACCACCUCCGAAUGCUCAACCAGCAGCGACGAAAAAUUUGAAAGAGUUAGUGAUGCGAUUAAUCCUUGCAUUGACUGAUAGCAUGAUUCCUACAUCCACUGAUCGCAUGCUUCCUAUAAUUGUUGAGAGGGUACGUGGAUUGAUUCCUUCAGUCUCUUCUCAGACAAACACUCUUAAUGACCAUCCAUCAUCUAUGGCACCUAUAGUUCUAGCUCUAGCUACUGCCAACAUUGAUCAGGUUCAUUCAUCGGUUUUUGAUGAUGACCGUGGCUCUCCAGUCUCUCAUUAGUUAGUUUUGUUGUUUGGAUUUUAUUGUUGUUGCAUAUGAUUUUGAAUUUUUUGUUUUGGAUAUUAUCGUUGUGGAUGCUUUGAACUUGAUUUGCCUAUGUAUUUUGGACCUUGUAGAAUAUUAGUUUCUAUGAAUUAAGUUAUUAUAUGAGUAUCUAAUAUAUGCA